UCUGAAGCUGCUGUCUGAGCUGAAGGUGAAGUUAAACCUGGUCUAACAUCAACAUCAGCUCAGACAGCAGCUUCAGAAAUUAAACUGGGUUUAUCUUCUGAAGCUGCUGUCUGAGCUGAAGGUGACGUUAGACCAGGUUUAUCUUCUGUAGCUGCUGUCUGCGUUUCUGG
This is a non-coding RNA of Xyrichtys novacula (pearly razorfish), 170 nucleotides long. NCBI's taxonomy places the organism in Eukaryota, Metazoa, Chordata, Actinopteri, Labriformes, Labridae. The record is from the annotation of a GenBank genome assembly.